GGGGGGGUUACCGUUUGUAAAAUAUAAAUGGAAUCAAAAGGAGGUGUUUUCCCAAUCAUAUCGAUGUGACUGGCCCACUGGAUUGUACUCCGAACCCGCGUUUAUGGACAUGAGGCACCCGCAUUUAUGGAUAUGAGGUACCUUAUCGACUGAAAGCAGUGAAGGGUUGAGUAAGGUAGGCUGUUUUUUUUUCUGAUACAAAUUUCAGACUGUGAAAGCACCACUUAUUUAAUGUGUUU
RNAcentral lists this long non-coding RNA (239 nucleotides) under Sinocyclocheilus grahami. RNAcentral's name for it is "lncRNA (ENSSGRG00000001618.1)". Lineage: Eukaryota; Metazoa; Chordata; Actinopteri; Cypriniformes; Cyprinidae. The record is from RNAcentral.